This 1403-nucleotide long non-coding RNA is filed under the name Triticum aestivum (bread wheat). RNAcentral describes it as "long non-coding RNA (TAES_LNC021270)". The record is from RNAcentral. Lineage: Eukaryota; Viridiplantae; Streptophyta; Magnoliopsida; Poales; Poaceae.
AAUGGUCUGCUUUCAUGGGGCUUAUUGAAUCCAGGAAAUAACUGUGAGUAGUAGCGAACCAGACAUGAAAAGUUUCAGAGAACUACGAAAACUCUGGUCAGUUUUGUCGGGAUCUUGUGACACAGUUCCAGGACUCUAUUGACUAAGGUAAUGAUAUAUAUGUGUGAUUUAUCCUGUUAAAACUUUUAGUGUUCACUUAGGGGUGAGUGCAACUAGUAACUGAAUUUAGACUACGAACUAGAGUAUGACAGUAAAGUCAGGAGCAUGAUGGAGAACACAUGGGACAUUGAGGACUAAUGGUCAACACUUAAAUCUUGCUUUACAUAUAGUUCAGUUCCAAGUAGUCUGAUACAUAGAUGGCGAGGGGAGUGCUGAUUUGGGGUUGAUUUUGGUAAUUAUAUAUUUUCCUUGAUGACUGUCAUUUUGUUGUCUUACAUGUGCUAUAUGAUAUGCAUAACAACUUGAGAGCACCUUUGCUUCUCUUGAUGUAAUUCCAUUAUAGGGCCGUGCGUUGAACAUGCUUCUUUGAUGAUAAGUAACAGACUUCUUCCUCCAAUGGCUGAAACAAGCUUUGUGAUUUACUCCUCUAAUUCUCUUUUGACAUGCUGAUUAAUUCCUAGCAAUUUUCUAGAGUAAAUCCAUUCCCCUGCCACCUAUAAUGGAAUUUCACAUGUUUUACUUGCAUGAACCAAACAUAUAUGUGCGCUGACUACAGGCCAAAGCCUAAAGAAUUCCUUGAACAUCAAAUACAUAUAGAAUGCACAACACAUAUUAGUACAAUGCCCGUGCGAUAAUUUUCUUGUAAUUUAGAAUGCACAAUACAUAAAGAGUUCCUGUAUAUAUACUCUUACGCUGUGAUAAUUUUCUUGAUAUCUUUUUAAUGCCAGCCUCUUUCAGUUAGUACAAUGAUCAAGGAUCUCAUUUGAGUAUGGGUUUGCACAUCUGAGUGCUGGUGAUCUUCUUCGUGAAGAAGUUAAAGUGAUAUGGAGCAGGUAACAGUCUUCUUUCAGUUUCUGUAAAUAUAUUCUUACGUUGUAAUAAUUGUCUUGAUAUCUUUUUAAUGCCAGCCUCUUUCAGUUAGUACAAUGAUCAAGGAUCUCAUGUAUGAAGGAAAGCUUGUGCCUUUUGAGAUCAUUGUCAUGCUAAUUAGUAAAGAACAUGCUUGUGGUUGGAAACAAUAUGUUUCUGAUUGAUGGAUUUCCGCAAAAUGAAUAACUUCCAAUCAUACGAGAAUAUUUAAGAAUGCUUCUAUGUACAUUCGAUAGUGCCAAUAGCAGAUCAAUCUCUUGUUGUGUGCUUCACACAUGUGCAUUUGUUUAACAGAUUAAAAUUGACCAUGAGUUCGUACUAUUAAUUGAAGGCUCAAGGGAAGAGACAGCGGCAUAUUCUUCGUUGAAAUCAGG